GACGAACGCUGGCGGCGUGCUUAACACAUGCAAGUCGAACGGAAAGGCCCUGCUUUUGUGGGGUGCUCGAGUGGCAAACGGGUGAGUAACACGUGAGUAACCUGCCCUUGACUUUGGGAUAACUUCAGGAAACUGGGGCUAAUACCGGAUAGGAGCUCCUGCUGCAUGGUGGGGGUUGGAAAGUUUCGGCGGUUGGGGAUGGACUCGCGGCUUAUCAGCUUGUUGGUGGGGUAGUGGCUUACCAAGGCUGUGACGGGUAGCCGGCCUGAGAGGGUGACCGGCCACAUUGGGACUGAGAUACGGCCCAGACUCCUACGGGAGGCAGCAGUGGGGAAUAUUGCACAAUGGGCGGAAGCCUGAUGCAGCAACGCCGCGUGCGGGAUGACGGCCUUCGGGUUGUAAACCGCUUUCGCCUGUGACGAAGCGUGAGUGACGGUAAUGGGUAAAGAAGCACCGGCUAACUACGUG
This 468-nucleotide ribosomal RNA is filed under the name uncultured bacterium. RNAcentral's name for it is "partial 16S ribosomal RNA". It matches the Rfam family "Bacterial small subunit ribosomal RNA", at positions 28 to 507 of the family's 1533-position model. The record is from RNAcentral.